CAAUGUUUGAACACGGGUGAAUAUGAUUUACAAAGCUUUAGAUAUACAUAUUAUUUUGGUAAAAUAUAUAGGAUACUGUAGAGCCGAGAAAAAAUCCAAAUUCAAAAAACCAAACCGAAUCUGAUCCAAAAAAAUAUACCGAACCAUAGCUGGUUAAAUAUUUAUAUGGGCUUAAAAUUUUGGUAUCUAGAAAAUCGGAACCAGCCCGGUUCGACCAUAUAUAUUUCGAGUAUCCAAAUAUAUCCAAAUCAGAUUUAUAUACUUAAAUAUAUUAGUUAUUUUUUAGAUUUAAUAUCCAACAAAUAUAUAAGAUAUAUAAGAUAUUUUGAAACUGUCCAAAAUACUUAAAAAUAAAUACAAAUAGUCAAAAAUAAAUAUUUAAAAUAACUAUGGAUUCUCCAUCCAAAUAUUCAUGCUAACCCAAUUUUUUAUAUUAUUGAUAAAUUGGCAUAUAUUAUUCAAAAUUUAUAUGUUAUAUAUUAUAAGUUAAAAUAUUGCUAAAAUAAUUAAUAAAUUUAAAAUAUGCUAUGUUGAUAAGGUUAGAAAUAACUUAUCAAUCUGUGACAUAAAUAAAGAAGAACUAGAGAGAAAAAGAUAGAGAUGAGAAAAAUUAGGGAUUAAAACAGGUGAAAAACAUUCGAAUACAAUUUUUUUUUAUCAUUUGAAGAUCAAACAAGUAAUAAAAGGAGAAUAAGAGCUUCAGAUAUACUGUCAACGUAGGACUAAAAAUCAGCCAAUAAGAUUCUUUCUUUUGGCCAUGUCAAAGACCAUUUUCGUGUUGGGCUUCUAAUAAUUUUUUGAUCUGUUAACUUGAAUUUGUUUGGCCCGUUUAGCCCAAUGAGAGGGAAAACCCUAGAAAUGUGAGACGAUGAACUCCGGAUCCUUUUGUGUGUUGUUCUUCGUCGUUUCCAAUUCUCUAACGGAUUGUCGAUCAAACGACACACGAUUCAUCUCUGUGUAAUCAAGCCUCCAUUUAUGGCUUCCUUUCACCUUUUUCCCUCUGAAUUUCUUUAUAACCAUUUUUUCUCCAGAUCCAUUUAUCACAAAAUUUUCUAUCUCUUCACCAUUAUCUGGUUCCAAUCAAAAUCGAGAGAUUCCUCUUAAGAAGCCGAAUCCGCGAUGAAACCCUAUGGAAAAUCCCCACCGAUCAAACAUACCGGCAAAACCGGUGUCUCCUCCACCAAAGCUGUCUCCGGCGAUCCUACGUCGAAGAAACCAAACGGCAAGGUGGUUCUCCACUCCGACUCCUCCGCCAAAACCUGUGUCUCCUCCGCCAGAUCUGUCUCCGGCGAUCCUAUCUCAAAGAAACUAAACGGCAAGGCCGUUGUCUCCUCCCCCAGAGCUGAUGAAGUGGUGUUCUUCAGAGAUGUCGAAUUUGGACCACAAGAAGGCGAGUUAACGGAUACAGAGACAAAACUAGCAGAGAGAAGGGUCGUCCUCUAACCCCACCGACACCGCCAGGCACGCUCCAGAACCACCGGAUCUGAUAACGGAGACAAACUCAACUGAACUCCACCCUUGCUGGUGAAGAGGGUACAGAGAUGAACAAUGAGAUGGAGAAGAGGAGUAGUGGAAAAGAGAGAUAUCUAGCUUCGAGUUCUUUAUGAAUGGAACAGCUAAUGAAAACCAAUGUGGUUGCGUUUGGGGUAUUGCCUCUAGAAAUCUUAACUGGCCACUGAGCUAUUGAUACAUCUAUACGGUAAAGCAAUGUGAUUUUGGGUAAUAGAAUCAAAUAGUCGGAAAACUUGAAAUGCAUAUUUUGCAAUAGUUUUCUUUUUGAAAUGGUCUCUUAUUGGUUUGCUAAUAUGGUGUUUUCAUUUUUUCUCAGAAACUAUAUAUGUUUGUAAGUACUAUAUAUCAUCUCAUAGAGUCUAAAAAGAUGACUGGAAAUUUGUAUAUAUGAGUCUGUGCAUCUGGAACUUCAUUACUCUGCUUCAUGGUUCAGAUACAGUGAAAGUGGAGCUUAAUAGAUUAUACAACGACAAUCUAUAGUUGUUUAUGUGUCGAUUUGAUUUUAAUUUUCUUGCUUUUUGUUGUUGUUGGUAUUGGCUUGAUUUUUAGUUUUUUCGCCCCAUUGUGAUGCAUAUAUUGAUUUGAGAGUUUGGGAAACCACACACUGAACUCAAAUCGUUAAAGUUUGUCUGAGAGACAUAGAGAGAAAGAUCUUGAAAAGGUUUGUUGUUAUUUGUGUUGUCUGUUUUUCUGUUUUGUGUUUGUGUUCAUUAAAGGAAGUUCAGUUUCAUAUGUCAGUUUAUUUCUUCCGUUCACCCAAAAUUUUAAGUUUUUAACUUUUUGUUAGUUAAAAAAAGCCAAUUAUCAUGAAAGUGUUCAGGUGUAUUUAUGUCGUCAGUAUUAUGCAUUAGCGUUCAGAACUUUUACUGCCACUUAGUUUAUGGAUCAGUUAUUUCGUUCAUAAUUUUACUGCCACUUAGUUUUGGAUCAAUUAUUACAUCAUGUGUUCUUCACUUUUAUGUUUUAAUUUGUCAAAGCUUUGUAGACAGCACCUUUUGUUUAUACAUAAGAGCUGUGUUGCGGAAUCUAUAAAUCAAGAAAAUCAAUGAGGAGAGGGCAUCAAUGGUUGCUCAGUUUGCUACGAAAUCCACCUUAAGAAAGAUCCUUGCUGCAGAAAAAGAUGAUGAUGACAUGCCUCCAAUUGAAGCUAUAUUUGCUCCAUUAGAAUCUGAGCUUAAGCUUCCACGAAAAGAGGCAUUUUACACGGCAUUUAUAAGGUUGAUUGAUUGCUCUCUACCUUCAUAUAGGGUUUCUAAAAAUUGAUGAAGCCAUCAACUGCUUUGUUUCUUCGUAGAUGGGGAAGUUCAAUAAGAUAACAUGGUUUGGAUCG
This is a long non-coding RNA of Brassica napus (rape), 2842 nucleotides long. RefSeq lists it as uncharacterized. NCBI's taxonomy places the organism in Eukaryota, Viridiplantae, Streptophyta, Magnoliopsida, Brassicales, Brassicaceae. The transcript is spliced from 2 exons. The record is from RefSeq and is a predicted model, not a curated record.